This 72-nucleotide transfer RNA is filed under the name Chloroflexota bacterium. Its description in RNAcentral is "Chloroflexi bacterium (groundwater metagenome) tRNA-Pro". It matches the Rfam family "tRNA". From Rfam's summary of the family: Transfer RNA (tRNA) molecules are approximately 80 nucleotides in length. Lineage: Bacteria; Bacillati; Chloroflexota. The record is from RNAcentral.
CGGGGCGUGGCGCAGCGGUAGCGCGCAUGGUUUGGGACCAUGAGGUCGUGAGUUCGAUCCUCACCGCCCCGA